This 1242-nucleotide ribosomal RNA is filed under the name metagenome. RNAcentral's name for it is "bacterial LSU rRNA". It matches the Rfam family "Bacterial large subunit ribosomal RNA", at positions 1564 to 2816 of the family's 2925-position model. The record is from RNAcentral.
UGAAUACGAGACGCUAAGGCGUCGAAGUAGUGUAUGUCAUACUUCCAAGAAAAGCUUGCACUGUCAUAGAUAAAAAACGCCUGUACCAUAACCGACACAGGUGGGUAGGUAGAGUAUACUAAGGGGCGCGAGAUAACUCUCUCUAAGGAACUCGGCAAAAUAACUCCGUAACUUCGGGAGAAGGAGUGCCCUAUUCGUAAGGUUGCAAUAACAAGAUCCAAGCAACUGUUUAUCAAAAACACAGGUCUCCGCUAAGUCGUAAGACGAUGUAUGGGGGCUGACGCCUGCCCAGUGCCAGAAGGUUAAAGAAGUUGGUUAGCAAUUGCGAAGCUGAUAACUGAAGCCCUGGUGAACGGCGGCCGUAACGAUAACGGUCCUAAGGUAGCGAAAUUCCUUGUCGGGUAAGUUCCGACCCGCACGAAAGGCGUAAUGAUUUGGAUACUGUCUCGGAGAGGGGCUCGGUGAAAUAGACUUGUCUGUGAAGAUGCGGACUACCUGCACCAGGACAGAAAGACCCUAUGAAGCUUUACUGUAACUUGAAAUUGAAAUUGGACUUUAUUCGCGCAGUAUAGGGGGGAGGCGUUGAUUAUAAUCUUGUGGGAUUAUUGGAGCCAUCAGUGAGAUACCACUCUUGUAAUGUUAGAUCUCUAACUUUGAAUCAUUAUCUGGUCAAAGAACAGUUUCAGGCGGGCAGUUUGACUGGGGCGGUCGCCUCCUAAACGGUAACGGAGGCGUACAAAGGUUUCCUCUGAACGGUUAGAAAUCGUAUCUAGAGUGUAAAGGCAUAAGGAAGCUUGACUGUGAGACCUACAAGUCGAGCAGGGACGAAAGUCGGUCUUAGUGAUCUGACGGUACUGAGUGGAAAGGCCGUCACUCAACGGAUAAAAGUUACUCUAGGAUAACAGGCUGAUCUCCCCCAAGAGUUCACAUCGACGGGGAGGUUUGGCACCUCGAUGUCGGCUCAUCGCAUCCUGGGGCGGUAGUACGUCCCAAGGGUUGGGCUGUUCGCCCAUGAAAGCGGUACGCGAGCUGGGUUCAGAACGUCGUGAGACAGUUCGGUCCAUAUCCGGUGUAGGCGUUAGAAUAUUGAGAGGAGCCUUCUUUAGUACGAGAGGACCGAGAAGGACAUACCUCUGGUGUACCAGUUAUCGUGCCAACGGUAAACGCUGGGUAGCUAUGUAUGGAGUGGAUAACCGCUGAAAGCAUCUAAGUGGGAAGCCCACCUCAAGAUAAGUAUUCUCA